UACGGGGGGAGCAAGCGUUGUUCGGAUUUACUGGGCGUAAAGGGCACGUAGGCGGCCAGCACAAGUCAGUUGUGAAAUCUCCGAGCUUAACUCGGAAAGGUCAACUGAUACUGUGCGGCUAGAGUGCGGAAGGGGCAACUGGAAUUCUUGGUGUAGCGGUGAAAUGCGUAGAUAUCAAGAGGAACACCUGCGGCGAAGGCGGGUUGCUGGGCCGACACUGACGCUGAGGCGCGAAAGCCAGGGGAGCGAACGGG
Molecule: ribosomal RNA, 254 nt
Filed under: uncultured bacterium
Lineage: Bacteria
Description: partial 16S ribosomal RNA
Rfam family: Bacterial small subunit ribosomal RNA
Source: RNAcentral